RNAcentral lists this ribosomal RNA (769 nucleotides) under uncultured Actinomycetes bacterium. Its description in RNAcentral is "bacterial SSU rRNA". It matches the Rfam family "Bacterial small subunit ribosomal RNA", at positions 8 to 795 of the family's 1533-position model. The record is from RNAcentral. Lineage: Bacteria; Bacillati; Actinomycetota; Actinomycetes.
AGAGUUUGAUUAUGGCUCAGGAUGAACGCUGGCGGCGCGCUUAACACAUGCAAGUCGAACGAGGUCCAACCUUCGGGUGAAGACCGAGUGGCGAACGGGUGAGUAACACGUGGGGAACCUGCCCUUCUCUCUGGGAUAACCUCGGGAAACCGAAGCUAAUACCGGAUACUCCUUGCGGACCGCAUGGUCUGCUCGGGAAAGCUCCGGCGGAGAAGGAUGGCCCCGCGGCCCAUUAGCUUGUUGGUGGGGUAACGGCCCACCAAGGCGACGAUGGGUAGCCGAGCUGAGAGGCUGAUCGGCCACACUGGGACUGAGACACGGCCCAGACUCCUACGGGAGGCAGCAGUGGGGAAUCUUGCGCAAUGGGCGAAAGCCUGACGCAGCAACGCCGCGUGCGGGAUGAAGGCUCUCGGGUCGUAAACCGCUUUCAGCAGGGGUGAAAAUGACAGUACCUGCAGAAGAAGCCCCGGCUAAAUACGUGCCAGCAGCCGCGGUAAUACGUAUGGGGCAAGCGUUAUCCGGAUUCAUUGGGCGUAAAGCGCGCGUAGGCGGCUUGUUAAGUCAGGCGUGAAAUCAGGGGGCUCAACCCGCGGCUUGCGUCUGAAACUGGCAGGCUUGAGUCUGGUUGAGGAAAGUGGAAUUCCUGGUGUAGCGGUGAAAUGCGCAGAUAUCAGGAGGAACACCAGUGGCGAAGGCGGCUUUCUGGGCCACGACUGACGCUGAGGCGCGAAAGCUAGGGGAGCGAACAGGAUUAGAUACCCUGGUAGUC